UCCAGACUCCUACGGGAGGCAGCAGUGGGGGAUAUUGCACAAUGGGGGAAACCCUGAUGCAGCGACGCCGCGUGGGCGAAGAAGUAUUUCGGUAUGUAAAGCCCUAUCAGCAGGGAAGAAGAAAUGACGGUACCUGAGUAAGAAGCACCGGCUAAAUACGUGCCAGCAGCCGCGGUAAUACGUAUGGUGCAAGCGUUAUCCGGAUUUACUGGGUGUAAAGGGGGCGCAGACGGCAGCACAAGCCAGGAGUGAAAGCCCGGGGCCCAACCCCGGGACUGCUUUGGAAACUGUGUUGCUGGAGUGCUGGAGAGGCAAGCGGAAUUUCUAGUGUAGCGGUGAAAUGCGUAGAUAUUAGGAAGAACACCAGUGGCGAAGGCGGCUUGCUGGACAGUAACUGACGUUGAGGCUCGAAAGCGUGGGGAGCAAACAGGAUUAGAUACCCGAGUA
This 447-nucleotide ribosomal RNA is filed under the name uncultured bacterium. RNAcentral's name for it is "bacterial SSU rRNA". It matches the Rfam family "Bacterial small subunit ribosomal RNA", at positions 330 to 792 of the family's 1533-position model. The record is from RNAcentral.